GCCGGAGUGGUGGAACUGGUAGACGCGUCGGACUCAAAAUCCGAUGGAUGCAAGUCCGUGGGGGUUCGAUUCCCUUCUCCGGCACCA
Molecule: transfer RNA, 87 nt
Filed under: Deltaproteobacteria bacterium
Lineage: Bacteria; Pseudomonadati; Myxococcota; Myxococcia
Also listed under: 1 other name
Description: tRNA-Leu
Rfam family: tRNA
About the family: Transfer RNA (tRNA) molecules are approximately 80 nucleotides in length. Their secondary structure includes four short double-helical elements and three loops (D, anti-codon, and T loops).
Source: RNAcentral